Molecule: ribosomal RNA, 408 nt
Filed under: uncultured bacterium
Lineage: Bacteria
Description: partial 16S ribosomal RNA
Rfam family: Bacterial small subunit ribosomal RNA
Source: RNAcentral
GACGAACGCUGGCGGCGUGCUUAACACAUGCAAGUCGAACGAAGUGGCGAACGGGUGAGUAAUACGUGGGUAACCUGCCCUCCUUUUUGGGAUAAGCCUUGGAAACGGGGUCUAAUACCGAAUAAUGGGGGAUGGGCUCGCGGCCUAUCAGCUUGUUGGUGGGGUGAUGGCCUACCAAGGCGGUGACGGGUAGCCGGCCUGAGAGGGUGAACGGCAACAGUGGGACGGAGAUACGGCCUAGACUCCGACGGGGGGGAGCAGUGGGGGAGAUGGGACAAUGGGCGAAAGCCUGAUGCAGCGACGCCGAGUGGGGGAUGAAGGCUUUAGGAUUGUAAAACUAGUUCGCUAUAGAACGGGUAGGUGGAGAAGAAGCGCCGGCUAACUACGUGCCAGCAGCCGCGGUAAUUC